Molecule: long non-coding RNA, 120 nt
Organism: Octopus sinensis (East Asian common octopus)
Lineage: Eukaryota; Metazoa; Mollusca; Cephalopoda; Octopoda; Octopodidae
Exons: 3
Source: RefSeq, a predicted model, not a curated record
AUCCAUUAAGGAAAUCCAAAGGAAACACCUUUCCAUCAGGAGAAAACUUACAAAGGCUUCACAUUUCUGGUUAUCACAUUUCUUGUUAUUCACAUAUAUAGACAUACAUAUGUAUACAUA